UGCAGUGCUAUUGUAAGCCAACAGGCGACCAUCUAUUGACUUAAGGCUUCUUGAUAGCUGUCCGGUACCUAAUGUUGUGCAGCUACUACAAGUGGGCAAAUUGUUGUGAAAUUGUGUAUCGCGGUGUGAACACGAUUUGGAUCGGAUCUGUACUAGAGAGUGAACGUUGAAUAGCUGAGUCUUCUAUUUUGUGUUCUGAAAGUGAAAACCGAAAAAGUGAUGUCUGCAGCUACCCGGGUAGAAAUGAAUAACAAAUCAAACAUAAAAUGAACAGUAACAAAUUUAACAUAUAGUGCCGAUGAUUUGAAUGCUACUUUGACGACGUUCAUACAAUAAUGUAGGCGACUUUCAGUGUUUUUAGUAACAGAAGUAAGGACUCCCCAAAUUUCAAGAAAAUUUUCUGUCUACCUUUGUUCAUUUCUACCCGGGUUACUGGACCCACACAGCACUCAACGCAAACAAUAGUCGCGUCAGUUGAGCCGUAGAUGUGCGAAUGUCAAUAUACUUAGUGCGAUGAGCCCGGCUUAAUUGAGAUUUCCGGCUUACUAAGAACGUUUAACCAUCGAAUAAGUGCGGUGCCCUGCGGCUCGAACCAUGCCUCAACAGUCGCCCAACGACGAUGUCGUCGUGGUAAAGCACAUUACCGGGCCCGUCGACGAUGAGUGUGACACCACUCGGUACGAUAUACUGUUCCUGUGCGGAUUCAUAGUGAUAGUGUUAGUGGUGGCUACGAUCUUGCGGUUGGCCUUGCAAGUCACCCGAGCACGGAUGAUUUCGGACCAACAGCGGCAGCCAAAUCGUGACGAAAUCAGUAGUCCGGACGGAUCGAUGCUCAGCCUAGUGCUCAGAAGAUGAAGAAUGGCGCGGAGGACGCGGAAAUGUUCAACAACCUCCCAAGAUGGACGUCAUCGUGAGUGAUACAUUUGUGAAGCUAGACAAAGUGUGAUGUGUUUACCUAAUGUUAAGAAUUUUAGUAACAAAACCGUCAUAUCGAUUUAAAUAAACAGAUAUACUAGAACCUCAAUCAAAGCCAAACUUAA
Long non-coding RNA from Aedes albopictus (Asian tiger mosquito), 1040 nucleotides. RefSeq lists it as uncharacterized. NCBI's taxonomy places the organism in Eukaryota, Metazoa, Arthropoda, Insecta, Diptera, Culicidae. The transcript is spliced from 2 exons. The record is from RefSeq and is a predicted model, not a curated record.